UAGGGAAUCUUCGGCAAUGGACGAAAGUCUGACCGAGCAACGCCGCGUGAGUGAAGAAGGUUUUCGGAUCGUAAAACUCUGUUGUUAGAGAAGAACAAGGACGUUAGUAACUGAACGUCCCCUGACGGUAUCUAACCAGAAAGCCACGGCUAACUACGUGCCAGCAGCCGCGGUAAUUCGUAGGUGGCAAGCGUUGUCCGGAUUUAUUGGGCGUAAAGCGAGCGCAGGCGGUUUCUUAAGUCUGAUGUGAAAGCCCCCGGCUCAACCGGGGAGGGUCAUUGGCAACUGGGGGACUUGAGUGCAGAAGAGGAGAGUGGAAUUCCAUGUGUAGCGGUGAAAUGCGUAGAUAUAUGGAGGAACACCAGUGGCGAAGGCGGCUCUCUGGUCUGUAACUGACGCUGAGGCUCGAAAGCGUGGGGAGCAAACAGG
Molecule: ribosomal RNA, 429 nt
Filed under: Gemmatimonadota bacterium
Lineage: Bacteria; Pseudomonadati; Gemmatimonadota
Description: Gemmatimonadetes bacterium partial 16S ribosomal RNA
Rfam family: Bacterial small subunit ribosomal RNA
Source: RNAcentral